Molecule: ribosomal RNA, 3063 nt
Filed under: Thermobispora bispora
Lineage: Bacteria; Bacillati; Actinomycetota; Actinomycetes; Streptosporangiales; Streptosporangiaceae
Description: 23S ribosomal RNA
Rfam family: Bacterial large subunit ribosomal RNA
Source: RNAcentral
AGUGGGUGCGAGCAUCGUGUGGUCAAGUUACUAAGGGCACACGGUGGAUGCCUUGGCACCAGGAGCCGAUGAAGGACGUGGGAGCCUGCGAUAAGCCUCGGGGAGCCGGCUACCAGGCGUUGAUCCGGGGAUUUCCGAAUGGGGGAACCUGGCCCGAGUUGUGUCGGGUCGCCGCCGUCUGAACGCAUAGGACGGUUGGUGGGAACGCGGGGAAGUGAAACAUCUCAGUACCCGCAGGAAGAGAAAGCAAUCGCGAUUCCCUGAGUAGUGGUGAGCGAAAGGGGAAGAGGCUAAACCGGUGGCGUGUUAAAGCCGGCAGGCGUUGCGUUACCGGGGUUGUGGGACGCUCCUUUGCAGUCUCUGCCGGGGCUGCGGGCAGUGAGAAAUCGGUGGGAUAGCCGAACGCUCUGGAAUGGGCGGCCGUAGACCGUGAGAGCCGGGUAGGCGAAAUCUUGCCGACUGCCUGGGGGUGUUCCCGAGUAGCACGGGGCCCGAGGAAUCCUGUGCGAAUCUGCCAGGACCACCUGGUAAGCCUAAAUACUCCCUGGUGACCGAUAGUGGACGAGUACCGUGAGGGAAAGGUGAAAAGCGCCCCGGUGAGGGGUUGUGAAAUAGUACCUGAAACCGUGUGCCUACAAGCCGUGGGAGCUUGGCAGCGCCCUUUGGGUGUUGUCGUGAUGUGACCGCGUGCCUUUUGAAGAAUGAGCCUGCGAGUUGACGUGCGUGGCGAGGUUAACCCGUGUGGGGGAGCCGUAGCGAAAGCGAGUCUGAAUAGGGCGUUGAGUCGCGUGCGUCAGACCCGAAGCCGGGUGAUCUACCCGUGGGCAGGGUGAAGCUCAGGUAAGACUGGGUGGAGGCCCGAACCCACCAGGGUUGCAAACCUGGGGGAUGACCUGCGGGUAGCGGUGAAAAGCCAAUCGAACUCGGUGAUAGCUGGUUCUCCCCGAAAUGCAUUUAGGUGCAGCGUCACGUGGUCCUUGCCGGAGGUAGAGCACUGGUUGGCCGAUGGGCCCUCACAGGUUACUGAGGUCAGCCAAACUCCGAAUGCCGGUAAGUGUGAGCGUGGCAGUGAGACCGCGGGGGAUAAGCUUCGUGGUCGAGAGGGAAACAGCCCAGAUCACCGGCUAAGGCCCCGAAGCGUGUGCUGAGUGGGAAAGGAUGUGAAGCCGCUGUGACAGCCAGGAGGUUGGCUUAGAAGCAGCCAUCCUCUAAGGAGUGCGUAAUAGCUCACUGGUCUAGUGGUUUUGCGCCGACAAUGUAGCGGGGCUCAAGCACACCGCCGAAGCCGUGGCGUCUUCCGCGUGUGCGGGGGACGGGUAGGGGAGCGUCGUGCGGCGGGUGAAGCGGCGGGGUGACCCAGCCGUGGACGCCGUGCGAGUGAGAAUGCAGGCAUGAGUAGCGUUUCAGAAGUGAGAAACUUCUGCGCCGGAUGACCAAGGGUUCCUGGGGCAGGUUGAUCCGCCCAGGGUAAGUCGGGACCUAAGGCGAGGCCGAUAGGCGUAGUCGAUGGGCAACGGGUUGAUAUUCCCGUACCCGCCGUGGCGCGUUCUGCCGCUUCGGUGGCAGGUAAGCGAUGGGGGGACGCAGGAAGGUAGCCCAUCCCAGGCGGUGGUUGUCCUGGGGUAAGCAUGUAGGGUGCGGGGUAGGCAAAUCCGCCCCGUGUUAAGCCCGAGAUGCGAUGCCGAGCCGAUUGUGGCGAAGUGGGUGAUCCUCUACUGCCGAGAAAAGCCUCUAGCGAGCGCUAUGGCGGCCCGUACCCUAAACCGACUCUGGUGGUCAGGUAGAGAAUACCGAGGCGUUCGGGCGAACCGCGGUUAAGGAACUAGGCAAAUUGCCCCCGUAACUUCGGGAGAAGGGGGGCCUCUGCUGGUGUAGGCACGUGCUGCCGAAGCUGGUGGGGGCCGCAGAGAAUAGGCCCAGGCGACUGUUUACUAAAAACACAGGUCCGUGCGAAGUCGUAAGACGAAGUAUACGGACUGACGCCUGCCCGGUGCCGGAACGUUAAGGGGACGGGUUAGCGGCCUUUCGGGGUUGCGAAGCUCGGAACCUAAGCGCCGGUAAACGGCGGUGGUAACUAUAACCAUCCUAAGGUAGCGAAAUUCCUUGUCGGGUAAGUUCCGACCUGCACGAAUGGCGUAACGGUCUGGGCACUGUCUCAACCGCGGACCCGGCGAAAUUGCACUACGAGUAAAGAUGCUCGUUACGCGCAGCAGGACGGAAAGACCCCGGGACCUUCACUGCAGCUUGGCAUUGGCGUUUGGAAUGGCUUGUGUAGGAUAGGUGGGAGACUGUGAAGCGGGCACGCCAGUGUCCGUGGAGUCGCCGUUGAAAUACCACUCUGGCUGUUUCGAACGUCUAACCCGGGUCCCUUAUCGGGAUCGGGGACAGUGCCUGGUGGGUAGUUUGACUGGGGCGGUUGCCUCCUAAAGGGUAACGGAGGCGCCCAAAGGUCCCCUCAGCCUGGUUGGAAAUCAGGCGUUGAGUGUAAGGGCACAAGGGGGCUUAACUGUGAGACCGACGGGUCGAGCAGAUGCGAAAGCAGGGCCUAGUGAUCCGGCGGUGGCGAGUGGAAGCGCCGUCGCUCAACGGCUAAAAGGUACCCCGGGGAUAACAGGCUGAUCAUCCCCAAGAGUCCAUAUCGACGGGAUGGUUUGGCACCUCGAUGUCGGCUCGUCGCAUCCUGGGGCUGGAGUAGGUCCCAAGGGUUGGGCUGUUCGCCCAUUAAAGCGGUACGCGAGCUGGGUUUAGAACGUCGCGAGACAGUUCGGUCCCUAUCCGCUGCGCGCGUAGGAGACUUGAGGGGGGCUGUUCCUAGUACGAGAGGACCGGAACGGACGAACCUCUGGUGUGCCAGUUGUGCCGCCAGGUGCACGGCUGGUUGGCUACGUUCGGUUGGGAUAACCGCUGAAAGCAUCUAAGCGGGAAGCCCGCCCCGAGAUGAGGUCUCCCUCCGGGUUAACCGGGUAAGGCUCCCAGUAGAUGACUGGGUUGAUAGGCCGGUGGUGGAAGCGCGGUAACGUGUGGAGCCGACCGGUACUAAUAAGCCGAGAGGCUUGACUUCAC